UAACCUCUCUUCCAGCUGGUUUUGUCACCCCAUUGAUUGCCAAGGUUGAUUCAGCUGAUCUGGCUGGCUAGGCGGGUGCCACCUUCUUCCCUCACCGCUCCAUGUGCGUUCCUCUCGAAGCUGCGUGCUCGGUUGAAGAGGAUGACCGCCCCCGAUAAAGGAGGACCGUUUCCUCCAUCAAGGGUGUACAAGUAGCUGCACUCCCCUGCUAGAACCUCCAAACAAGCUCUCAAGCAUUUCUGUUUUAAUAUUUAGCUAUUUAAUCCAUUUUGAUUUUAGUUUAGUGCAUGGUGAGAGAUAUAAGUCUAGAUUUAAUCUUUGGCAU
Molecule: small nuclear RNA, 325 nt
Filed under: Heterocephalus glaber (naked mole-rat)
Lineage: Eukaryota; Metazoa; Chordata; Mammalia; Rodentia; Bathyergidae
Description: 7SK RNA
Rfam family: 7SK RNA
About the family: 7SK was discovered as an abundant small nuclear RNA in the mid-70s but a possible function has only recently been suggested. Two independent studies have found that 7SK RNA binds the CDK9/cyclin T complex (known as elongation factor P-TEFb).
Source: Rfam by way of RNAcentral